GCUUUGGUGGUUCAGUGGUAGAAUUCUCGCCUUCUGUGCAGGAGACCCAGAUUCGAUUCCAGGCCAAUGCA
Molecule: transfer RNA, 71 nt
Filed under: Loxodonta africana (African savanna elephant)
Lineage: Eukaryota; Metazoa; Chordata; Mammalia; Proboscidea; Elephantidae
Rfam family: tRNA
About the family: Transfer RNA (tRNA) molecules are approximately 80 nucleotides in length.
Source: Rfam by way of RNAcentral